UUGCUUGACUCCAUUAUUCUCAAUUUAGUUCGUUUUAAUUACUAUAAAUCGCUGUGCAGGCCCUUGAAGAAGCACAUCUUCAAGAUGAUGUCGUUUAUGAUAAUUCUUGGGGUUAUUGCUGGGACGGCAGUAGCCAUGCCCACAAAAGGGCCCCAGUGCUUUGGUGAGGGUAGGUUCCCUAACCCCAAUACUUGUGGUGGCUUCUUCGACUGUAUACCUGAUGGCACUGGGGGCUAUGAAAUGUCUUUUGACGACUGUAAUGGAUUUGUCUA
Penaeus monodon (black tiger shrimp) is the source of this 272-nucleotide long non-coding RNA. RefSeq lists it as uncharacterized. The transcript is spliced from 3 exons. NCBI's taxonomy places the organism in Eukaryota, Metazoa, Arthropoda, Malacostraca, Decapoda, Penaeidae. The record is from RefSeq and is a predicted model, not a curated record.